This is a long non-coding RNA of Octopus sinensis (East Asian common octopus), 235 nucleotides long. RefSeq lists it as uncharacterized. The transcript has 2 exons. NCBI's taxonomy places the organism in Eukaryota, Metazoa, Mollusca, Cephalopoda, Octopoda, Octopodidae. The record is from RefSeq and is a predicted model, not a curated record.
AUUUAUAUUAUUAUUUCUAUAUUAGGUUCGCGAAGAUGUCCUUGGAGCUUUAAAUAAUAAUUUUCUUCAAACUUUGAACAAUGCUUGGAAUGAUCAUCAAACAUCCAUGGUAAUGAUUAGAGAUAUUCUAAUGUAUAUGGACAGAGUGUAUGUACAACAGAAUAAUGUUGACAAUGUGUACAAUCUUGGUUUAAUGAUAUUCAGAGACCAAGUAGUACGGCAUCCCAUUAUUCGA